RNAcentral lists this ribosomal RNA (313 nucleotides) under Actinomycetales bacterium TLI138. RNAcentral describes it as "partial 16S ribosomal RNA". It matches the Rfam family "Bacterial small subunit ribosomal RNA", at positions 162 to 489 of the family's 1533-position model. The record is from RNAcentral. Lineage: Bacteria; Bacillati; Actinomycetota; Actinomycetes; Actinomycetales.
UCUAAUACCGGAUANNANNNNNNNNNGCAUGGGGGUGGGUGGAAAGCUCCGGCGGUGCAGGAUGAUCCCGCGGCCUAUCAGCUUGUUGGUGGGGUAACGGCCCACCAAGGCGACGACGGGUAGCCGGCCUGAGAGGGCGACCGGCCACACUGGGACUGAGACACGGCCCAGACUCCUACGGGAGGCAGCAGUGGGGAAUAUUGCACAAUGGGCGAAAGCCUGAUGCAGCGACGCCGCGUGAGGGAUGACGGCCUUCGGGUUGUAAACCUCUUUCAGCAGGGAAGAAGCGCAAGUGACGGUACCUGCAGAAGAA